RNAcentral lists this ribosomal RNA (504 nucleotides) under uncultured Gammaproteobacteria bacterium. Its description in RNAcentral is "bacterial SSU rRNA". It matches the Rfam family "Bacterial small subunit ribosomal RNA", at positions 30 to 524 of the family's 1533-position model. The record is from RNAcentral. Lineage: Bacteria; Pseudomonadati; Pseudomonadota; Gammaproteobacteria.
AUUGAACGCUGGCGGCAGGCCUAACACAUGCAAGUCGAGCGGAUGAAGGGAGCUUGCUCCUGGAUUCAGCGGCGGACGGGUGAGUAAUGCCUAGGAAUCUGCCUGGUAGUGGGGGAUAACGUCCGGAAACGGGCGCUAAUACCGCAUACGUCCUGAGGGAGAAAAGUGGGGGAUCUUCGGACCUCACGCUAUCAGAUGAGCCUAGGUCGGAUUAGCUAGUUGGUGGGGUAAAGGCCUACCAAGGCGACGAUCCGUAACUGGUCUGAGAGGAUGAUCAGUCACACUGGAACUGAGACACGGUCCAGACUCCUACGGGAGGCAGCAGUGGGGAAUAUUGGACAAUGGGCGAAAGCCUGAUCCAGCCAUGCCGCGUGUGUGAAGAGGGUCUUCGGAUUGUAAAGCACUUUAAGUUGGGAGGAAGGGCGAGUAAGUUAAUACCUUGCUGUUUUGACGUUACCAACAGAAUAAGCACCGGCUAAACUUCGUGCCAGCAGCCGCCGUAAU